GUGACUGGCAAGAUGGACAUUAAACAUUGAGAACUCAGGUGUGCUGACAAGUUUUUGGAGUGAGCAUCAUCUGGACAACUAGGUCUUCAUCAUGGGAAGACCUAGAUUAUCAGAGAGCCUUCAUCAUUGCAGAAACAAUAAGUGGUAAAUGUGGCUGGUAUGAAAAGUGAGAAGCAGGGAAGGACCAGGUGUGUUCAAGGAGGCCAGCGUGGGGAGGCUCUCAAGGAGACUCAGAAGAGUGAAGGGACAUGAUCUAGGAUGGCAAAUGAAACACACUGAUCCUACAUUUGGAAUAUGGAGACACAGAAAGGUUUUGGUUUCAAAGGUAGCCAAGGCAGAAUUACCAGGACCCUACUUAAAGGUACCUUUAUUUACAUCAAUAACAUUUACAGUGUGAGCUGUCAAAUUAUUGUCAAAUGUGGGUGUAAGGAUACAGGAGUUUAUCUGUAGGUGACUCAUCUUAAAAGUUUUAAUCAGAGAGUGUAGUUAAUUAAAAGG
Molecule: long non-coding RNA, 498 nt
Filed under: Homo sapiens (human)
Lineage: Eukaryota; Metazoa; Chordata; Mammalia; Primates; Hominidae
Description: HSALNT0313038
Source: RNAcentral